Nannospalax galili (Upper Galilee mountains blind mole rat) is the source of this 214-nucleotide small nucleolar RNA. Its record names the gene U3. It matches the Rfam family "Small nucleolar RNA U3". From Rfam's summary of the family: Small nucleolar RNAs (snoRNAs) are involved in the processing and modification of rRNA in the nucleolus. Lineage: Eukaryota; Metazoa; Chordata; Mammalia; Rodentia; Spalacidae. The record is from Ensembl.
AAGAAUGUACUUUCAGGGAUUGUUUCUGUAGUUUGUUACUAGGGAAGUUUCCCUGACUGUGUAGAGUACCAGAAACGAUGAGAAGGAGAUGGAGCAUUCUCUCCUGAGCAUGAAGUUGGAUCUUGGUGUUGCUUCACUGCAACUACCUUCGGCCAUUGAUGGUCAUUCUUCUUUCUUUUGGGAGAGUAGGGGAAGAGGAUGCAGUCUGAGUGGU